This 1144-nucleotide long non-coding RNA is filed under the name Equus caballus (horse). Its description in RNAcentral is "lncRNA (ENSECAG00000048241.1)". Lineage: Eukaryota; Metazoa; Chordata; Mammalia; Perissodactyla; Equidae. The record is from RNAcentral.
AGUCCACGGGCCCGGUGUGGAUCCAGGAACGUCUGGGAGUCAAGAAAAUCUUCUAUAAAAAGGGUUGGCUUGGUUUCGGCCUACUUUGGGACCCAGCAGAACCUGGAUGGAGAAGCUCCUACUGGAUCAGACUGGCUCACUUCCUGAAAUGAUCCCUUUCACCCCGAUUUUGCCUGUUUGGAAAACUGAGGCAGAAACCCAAAGAUGACCUGCUUGAAAUCAUAACUGAGAGUCUGACCUUGGGACUCUGAGUCCCACCCUAAGCAUUUCUGCACAGCGUAAUUCCUCCUGCUGCGGUGUUUGGUCUCUUCCCUUCCUGGCGAGGGGAAGCACAGCUGUCGCAACGGAGCUGGGGGGAGGAUGUAAGCUUAUUAGGACCCCCGCUCCCGGGCGAUGGUUCAGCCGGUGAACUCCUGACCCGCCGGGCUGCCGCAGGAAGUGUGACGUGCUGACUCCGGCAGGAUCCUGAGGUCUGCAGGGGAGGCAGACAAGCCGGAUUGUAUUAUUUCGUCCAGGAGGUUAGAAAUACGUAGGGCAAUAGCAGAGCUGAAGCUGCUGCAGGCUCCACUCAGCUCCCCGAAGAAUCGGCCCGCUGCAGUGAGGGAGCAGCCCUGUGCCGCGGCUGGGAGGGUCCUGGCGGGAUGUGGUGGCCCGCAGGGGCUGCAGGAGUGGGCGCUGCGCCUCCAGGUCGCCGUUAGACACCUGCAGGCCUCCCGCAGGCCCAGGAGCGCUCACAGUGGGAGUCUUGGUCAGGGCAGGCGGUGGGCAGCAAGGAGAGGGGCAGACCUACUCCCGCUCUGAGCACCCCAAGCUCUCUUCAGGACCCCGAGCUUCCGUUUCUGCAACCUCCCUGGAGAGGCAGGGGGUGCCUGGGAGGGCGGUGUCAUCAGGCAGGACGGUGGGCCCCAGACGCAGGGGCAGUUGGUAUGAAGUAUGCCCAGCUUCCCUCCGCCCCUCUGCCAAGUGCACGUUGAGCUCCGCUGACUCCUCCUUCUCUUUGGUAACAGCAUCUUGAUUUUCCUUUGGGGAAAUCUCAGACCACGAGAUUAGGGUAGGGUGGCCUCAGGUCCCUGGUUCCUCGGUUGGUCCUAUGACUGAGCCUGACAAAUCAGAGCACGAUUCCCUGACUGAGCCUGGCCAAUCA